Molecule: ribosomal RNA, 169 nt
Filed under: Hypoptychus dybowskii (Korean sandeel)
Lineage: Eukaryota; Metazoa; Chordata; Actinopteri; Perciformes; Hypoptychidae
Description: partial 12S rRNA
Source: RNAcentral
CACCGCGGUUAUACGAGAGGCCCAAGUUGAUGAAAAACGGCGUAAAGCGUGGUUAAGUUAAAAUCAAAACUAAAGCCGAACACCCCCAAAGCUGUUAUACGCACCCGGAGGUUAGAAGUCCAACUACGAAGGUGGCUUUACCCAACCUGAACCCACGAAAGCUAAGUUA